GACAGAGGUGCCAAGCGUUAGGCGGAAUCACUGGGCUUAAAGCGUGUGUAGGCGGGUCGGUAAGUGUCUUGUGAAACCCCCCGGCUCAACCGGGGAAUGGCUGGGCAUACUGGCGAUCUUGAGCAGUUCAGGGGCAGAUGGAACAAGUGGUGGAGCGGUGAAAUGCGUAGAUAUCACUUGGAACGCCAAAGGUGAAAACAGUCUGCUGGGAACUUGCUGACGCUGAGACACGAAAGCCAGGGGAGCGAACGGG
Molecule: ribosomal RNA, 253 nt
Filed under: uncultured bacterium
Lineage: Bacteria
Description: partial 16S ribosomal RNA
Rfam family: Bacterial small subunit ribosomal RNA
Source: RNAcentral